This 1432-nucleotide long non-coding RNA is filed under the name Homo sapiens (human). RNAcentral's name for it is "HSALNT0350555". The record is from RNAcentral. Lineage: Eukaryota; Metazoa; Chordata; Mammalia; Primates; Hominidae.
GAAAGAUCCUCCCCAGGCCCCCCCGCCACAUCCCUGCAGUCUCUGGACCGUAGGGUAAGACCACACGCAGCGUGGGCUGCCUGGUCUGUCUCUGGACCCAAGGACAACGUGCUUGACCUGGUCGUUCAUGGGAGCUGUGUUUGGCAGCCCUGGAGGAGGGCGGCCUGGUUUCAUCCCCAGUGGAGAUAAAUCCCAAGGGUGGCUGUCCUCACGCCUGGGUUGUUGUGUUUCAUGUCGUUGUCAUGACCGAAACUGGCCGAAUUUGCAGAGUGACUGGAACGCUGCCAUGGUGGUGGCAUGAACACCUCAUAUUUACUUUGUGGGGAAACAUCAGGUAGUUAAAAUUAGCAGUGAGCACCACGGAAAGUCAAGGUUGUCCAAAAGAAUUGUGCAAUGUCACAUUGAGAAAUGUGGCAGAGAUAAGACUUGGCAGCGUUGGAGUGGCGGGUGGAAUUCUCAACCCUGAGCCCAGCCUGAGUGGGAGGGCCGGGCUUGGAGCUGCGGCACUUGGGGCCUUUCUGCCGGUGCCGAGGAGUCCUGGAGAGGAGCCUGGGGUCAGAUACCUGCACGUGUGUUCUUUGUAGGGCGAUGUCUGGGUGUUGGAGUUCUCUGCUAGCUCAUUUUCCCUGCUGAGGAAGCUGACCCUUUCCAGCAUGGCGUCCACCGGAGUAGGAAGCCAGCUUCUCAGCAGGCCAGCCGGCUCUUCUCCGCCCAAGGAAAACCCAGUCAUACCCAUUUGUACAAAUCGCCUCUCUGCACUCUUCAAAUAAAACUGAUAAUUCUCAGCAAUCUGUUUCCCAUCUGGAGCCCUGAAAGAUUAGAAUCCUUGUUUGAAUGCUGAGCCACGGUUGAGAUAACAUCUUUGUGACUCUUAGACUUCACUCCAGAUGACUGUCUGUCAUAGAUGGAAGGGGUGAGUGAGUUAAGGGGAACUAAGGCGUGGAACUUAGGUUUUUGAUCAGUGUAGGAUUUAAUGUCUUUCACUAAAAAGGACAAAAGUACAACCCCUGUUGGCUCCGAGUCUCCCAAGCAGCAGCCCUGUUUCUCACUCCUUCUCGAAAGUGCAGUGUGCACUCCCCCGCCAUCCCCGCCUCUGCCCCUUCUGCUCUCGCCCUGGCCUCUGUGCCCACUGUUCCCUGGCACCGCCUUCUCCGAUCAUCCUCUUCCCCAGGCCCUGACUCCAUCGCGCACCUGGCUGGUUUCAUGGCCGGCUGAGGCCCUGCUUAUUCCUCUGGGACCACAUCUCUGCCUCUGCCUCCCUCUUGGGAGCUGGGUUCCUUUCCUGGACCUCUUUUCCCACCCACGCCGAAGGAUUAGCGCCUCGAUGGUACUGACUCAUCUCUGACUGCAGUCCAGACUGCUCCCCAAGUUCUUCUGCUGUGCCAGCUGCCUGGCCAUCUGCAUUUGGACGGGGAGUCCCACAGAAAAUGUG